GACGAACGCUGGCGGCGUGCUUAACACAUGCAAGUCGAACGGAAAGGCCCUGCUUUUGUGGGGUGCUCGAGUGGCGAACGGGUGAGUAACACGUGAGUAACCUGCCCUUGACUUUGGGAUAACUUCAGGAAACUGGGGCUAAUACCGGAUAGGAGCUCCUGCUGCAUGGUGGGGGUUGGAAAGUUUCGGCGGUUGGGGAUGGACUCGCGGCUUAUCAGCUUGUUGGUGGGGUAGUGGCUUACCAAGGCUUUGACGGGUAGCCGGCCUGAGAGGGUGACCGGCCACAUUGGGACUGAGAUACGGCCCAGACUCCUACGGGAGACAGCAGUGGGGAAUAUUGCACAAUGGGCGGAAGCCUGAUGCAGCAACGCCGCGUGCGGGAUGACGGCCUUCGGGUUGUAAACCGCUUUCGCCUGUGACGAGGCGUGAGUGACGGUAAUGGGUAAAGAAGCACCGGCUAACUACGUG
Molecule: ribosomal RNA, 468 nt
Filed under: uncultured bacterium
Lineage: Bacteria
Description: partial 16S ribosomal RNA
Rfam family: Bacterial small subunit ribosomal RNA
Source: RNAcentral